UUGCCAGGGGAAGCAGAGAAAAGUCCAAAUACCUGGCUUCUGACAGCGGGGGGCCUGACUUCAAGAGAACACCGUUCCCAACAUAUCUGCUGUGAACAUCAGCCAGGUCCAACAUGGUGGAGUUACAGCCGCUGGAGAUGUGCACUCACGUUAAAGAGCUAAGGGAGCAAGUGUUUGUCCCAGAGAACCAAACACCCCGAGAAGAUCGCACGAGGACCACAGACACUAGGAACGGUUCUUGGACAACCUCUGCGACUUCUGGUCUCUGGACUAUACCUACUAACCAGUCAUCACUAGUUGGAAGUGCAAGGAAAUUCGCAAAAAAUAAGCAGAAGAAACCAAAUAAAACAUUUCUCAAAGAUACAAAGGGAAGUGAAAGAGCCACGAUGUGGCCUGUGGCGGCCUUCAGAGAGCGCCCAGUUCACUGCCAUCGGGGGGCUGACUGAGAUGGUCUAGACGAGACGUCUGGUUCCUGACGUGUGGUAAGUAGUCGCUGAAUGUGAGCCGCUACCAUUAAACUAUUAAAAUGAAAACCCAGCGAAAGUGCAGAGUUCGGAAGCAAACAGGAUGCAGACAUG
Hyaena hyaena (striped hyena) is the source of this 578-nucleotide long non-coding RNA. RefSeq lists it as uncharacterized. The record is from RefSeq and is a predicted model, not a curated record. NCBI's taxonomy places the organism in Eukaryota, Metazoa, Chordata, Mammalia, Carnivora, Hyaenidae. The transcript is spliced from 3 exons.